This is a long non-coding RNA of Zeugodacus cucurbitae (melon fly), 3201 nucleotides long. RefSeq lists it as uncharacterized. The record is from RefSeq and is a predicted model, not a curated record. NCBI's taxonomy places the organism in Eukaryota, Metazoa, Arthropoda, Insecta, Diptera, Tephritidae. The transcript has 4 exons.
CGGUAUUUUCCCCCGGUAAACUAUAUGCACACACACACACGUACAAGCCAAUGUUUGUUUUCAACAAUUGCCGCACACAAAGCCAGCUGCGCGAAUCGUUCGAGCUCGGCUGAGUAUAACGAAUGCGGUUGAGAAGUGUUGACGUCGACCAGAGUCGAGAGAAUAAAUCGUGCACGAACGGAUGGACGGACGGUCAGCGGCAAACCGACUACAUAAAUAAGGCGAAAAGAAUUGCAAAAGAUAAAGUGAAAGGGGUACCAAAGUGGAAACCCACGAGGUUCAGGAAAAACCACGAGGCAAACGCUUACACUGGUGGGUUAAGCACUGGAAGAGUAAUGUUACGAAAACGUUGAGAAACGCUGACGCCAGAGAGCGUACGAGCUGUCUGAACGAAAUAAAUUUUAAGAAAAUUAUUUCAACACACAUACAUACAUACAGUGAAUGUGUGCAUCUAUACAUGAGUGUGUGCAUUAUGCAGCGUUUCUAUGCGCUCAGCAACAACAACAAAACGCAUCAAUUAAGGUCACAUGCAAUGGCAAUAGACGCACAAGUACGCGCGCACACACACACUCAUGCACAUGCAUCCAUGCAUAUAUGGCAUGACGGGCAAUGAAAGGCGAAUGCACUGCCUUCAGAGCGCUACGCAAGAGUAUACAAAAACAAAUGGUUAUAAUAAACAUGCAGCUUUUCCACUUUAAAGGGCCGGGCAGUGCAAGGAAAUUAAGCUUUCAGUCGUUAUCGAACGAUCAGGAGUAGCCCUUCAAAGAAAAGGAAAUUGUUAAACGUCUUACAUAAGUAUGGGGCUAUGUUUAUUCCACGAAAUGACUUUUAUAAAGAAGGAAAGCAAAAUAGAAAGGGUUUAUUCCAUCAUCAUGGAAAUCAAAUUAAUCAUGGAAUGUCUUAGACCUAUCUGGAGAACCAGCCUUCAUUAUUGGACAAUAUUCGACCCUACCACGUCCAACCCGCAGUGAAGAAAAUGUAGCAGCCGUAGCUGAGAGUGUACACGAAGACGGUGGCGAGUUUAUUCGGCGCCGUUCGCAGCAACUCGGACUGACAUAUGGAACGAAGCGCCAUUAUAACCAACUAUUUGAUGCCUGAAAAUGAAGCUCGUGAUCUCUGCGACAUUUGGUUUCAACAAGACGGCGCCACUUCCCACACAAUGCAUCAAUCAAUGGAUUGAGAGAGAACACUUCUGUGAGCAAAUAAUUUCACGUUUUGGUCCGGUCGAUUGAACAGUAAGAUAGUGUGAUAUCACACCGUUAGACUUUUUCCUGUGGUGAUAUGUAAAAUCAUUGUCAAAGUCAUUGCGGACAAUUCUAUACAAGUCUUGGAGCAAAAUACCACGCCUGUCAUUCCCCAGUUUUCUGUCGAAAUGCUCAAACGAGUCAUCGAAAAUUAGACUCAACGGAUGGACCGUCUGAGAGGUAGCCGCGGCCAUAAUUUGAAAGAGAUAAUCUUUAAAAGGAGGUGCAGAACUCGAAUCAUAUACAUAUGUAACCCUGCCACCAGCAUGCGCAAUGCAGUUGUUUCUCAAAAUCGUCACUAGUUUCAUUCAACCUACACUAAGUGGUUGAUUUUCAAACGUUUCUCUGUUUCUUUUAGUUUACAAAUCUAACUCGGCCCUUAUUCGUAUUAUAAAAAACAGUUAAUUAGGCGAAGUUACGUAAAACAGUGAAACAUUUCACAAUCGCAAAUCCAAAUUUCAAAUAUGUAAAUGGUGGGGACGUGAAUUUUCCACUUGACUAAGUAGAAAGUAGCUUUUACCAAGUAAAAAUUCAUAAUUUCGACUGAUUUCAACAAUCUGUGGAGUUACCAAGUGAACUAAAAGCGCCUCACACUUUGUCGCCCGAGACAACAAGAAAGCAACGUAAAUCGCAAUAAAAAAUCUUCGAAAACUUCAAAAACUCAUUCAGCCAAACAGAGCCGCCGUGAAUUUGCAAUUGCCAAAAGCAACAAGCGGACGGGUGGCAUUUCAAAGGCAAUAUUGUAGCAAAGGCAGAGGCAAGCGGGGGGUCCAUCGUUGAUGUUGAUAUAGUAUGAAGCGUUUGAAUUCGGUACGAUUUGAUUUGGCGACGUGGAAUGCUGUCGUAGGCUUCGGACAAAUUCACAAUGUGUGACGAGCGAACUGCCAGCGCUGGGCAGGUAGGUAAGUACUGGCAGACUGUCUCGACCGUAUGUUUGUUAUACAUUUAGGUACCGGGCUCUUGCCUGGUUUGCAUUGAUUUGUAAAUCGAUACUUUGCAAAAGCGGCGCCAAAGCACGGACAGCAAGCCAAGUAUUAAAGUACAACAGCAGAAACAGCAGUGUGCUGUUGCAUUAAUGUACAGUGAACUCUAUCGGAGCUCCGUGCAGACAUAAAAUUCGAUAGGGUUCGCAAUGGACGAGUACCGCGGUGCCAUUUGCCGGUGCAACAGAGAGCAGCCACGGCGGCACUCAAUUCGCUUUGUUGAUUUCGAGUGCAACGACACUUAGUCCCCACAGUCGGCAUAUAGCUCGGUGCACAAGCAAACGCGCGUUUCAACUCAGCUUCGACUUUGUACCCAAACUGCGGCAGCAACAGCAACUGUUGCACGUUGCUAGACGACAAGGGAGGCAGUGUUGUCGCAAGUAUUUGCUUUGCCAGGCACACGGCAUGCUGCGCAAGUUAGUGCAAAUUUGUGUAUCAACACAUAUGGUCAUUGAAAUGGAUACGCCCUAAUAUACAUAUAGGUACAAUAUAUGUUUUCGAAAAUUUAAGGUAUUUAACAUUUUGACUAAUUUGGAAACUGCCAAUUUUUCAGUGCGACCAAUGUAUUGCUCAAUGAAUUCUUAUAUGGCUCAUAGGUACCAUAUAUGACAAAGUGGAAAAUUUAAAGAGAAAAUAUCGCGUACCAACUAUGAAAAUUUAACAAAAAAUUAAUAACAAAUUUUACUUUAUAUUGGAAAACGGCAAUCGAGUACAAAUAAUAUGAACUAGAGGCUAAUUACCUUUAAAAUAUUUAUUUUAUUUAUAUAUCUCUUAUAACACUUGAAAAGUUUUCAAUCUAACUAGACUUAAAAGGCUAUGUAGACAAUUGCUGCCGCACUGGGUUCAGACAGAAAAUAAAGAGAAACAAAAACCUACUAACGUCGUUUUUAUUUGAGACCAAUAAGCUGACUAUACUAUUAUUUUAUUUUCAUUUUAUUGACUAUGGAAUGUAUGGUCAAUUUCACAUUGAAAUU